UAAUCUGACUUCCAGAGAAGUCGGGAGAGA
RNAcentral lists this non-coding RNA (30 nucleotides) under Mus musculus (house mouse). The record is from RNAcentral. Lineage: Eukaryota; Metazoa; Chordata; Mammalia; Rodentia; Muridae.